GAGCCUGAUGCAGCGACGCCGCGUGAGGGAUGACGGCCUUCGGGUUGUAAACCUCUUUCAGCAGGGACGAAGCGCAAGUGACGGUACCUGCAGAAGAAGCACCGGCCAACUACGUGCCAGCAGCCGCGGUAAGACGUAGGGUGCGAGCGUUGUCCGGAUUUAUUGGGCGUAAAGAGCUCGUAGGCGGCUUGUCGCGUCGACCGUGAAAACUUGGGGCUCAACCCCAAGCCUGCGGUCGAUACGGGCAGGCUAGAGUUCGGUAGGGGAGACUGGAAUUCCUGGUGUAGCGGUGAAAUGCGCAGAUAUCAGGAGGAACACCGGUGGCGAAGGCGGGUCUCUGGGCCGAUACUGACGCUGAGGAGCGAAAGCGUGGGGAGCGAACAGGAUUAGAUACCCUGGUAGUCCACGCUGUAAACGUUGGGCGCUAGGUGUGGGGGGCCUCUCCGGUUCUCUGUGCCGCAGCUAACGCAUUAAGCGCCCCGCCUGGGGAGUACGGCCGCAAGGCUAAAACUCAAAGGAAUUGACGGGGGCCCGCACAAGCGGCGGAGCAUGCGGAUUAAUUCGAUGCAACGCGAAGAACCUUACCUGGGUUUGACAUGGCCGCAAAACUUCCAGAGAUGGGAGGUCCUUCGGGGGC
This 637-nucleotide ribosomal RNA is filed under the name Micromonospora sp. Ri2Pt_3993. Its description in RNAcentral is "bacterial SSU rRNA". It matches the Rfam family "Bacterial small subunit ribosomal RNA", at positions 379 to 1028 of the family's 1533-position model. The record is from RNAcentral. Lineage: Bacteria; Bacillati; Actinomycetota; Actinomycetes; Micromonosporales; Micromonosporaceae.